RNAcentral lists this ribosomal RNA (468 nucleotides) under uncultured bacterium. Its description in RNAcentral is "partial 16S ribosomal RNA". It matches the Rfam family "Bacterial small subunit ribosomal RNA", at positions 28 to 507 of the family's 1533-position model. The record is from RNAcentral.
GACGAACGCUGGCGGCGUGCUUAACACAUGCAAGUCGAACGGAAAGGCCCUGCUUUUGUGGGGUGCUCGAGUGGCGAACGGGUGAGUAACACGUGAGUAACCUGCCCUUGACUUUGGGAUAACUUCAGGAAACUGGGGCUAAUACCGGAUAGGAGCUCCUGCUGCAUGGUGGGGGUUGGAAAGUUUCGGCGGUUGGGGAUGGACUCGCGGCUUAUCAGCUUGUUGGUGGGGUAGUGGCUUACCAAGGCUUUGACGGGUAGCCGGCCUGAGAGGGUGACCGGCCACAUUGGGACUGAGAUACGGCCCAGACUCCUACGGGAGGCAGCAGUGGGGAAUAUUGCACAAUGGGCGGAAGCCUGAUGCAGCAACGCCGCGUGCGGGAUGACGGCCUUCGGGUUGUAAACCGCUUUCGCCUGUGACGAAGCGAGAGUGACGGUAAUGGGUGAAGAAGCACCGGCUAACUACGUG